RNAcentral lists this long non-coding RNA (536 nucleotides) under Agrilus planipennis (emerald ash borer). Its description in RNAcentral is "uncharacterized LOC108741257, transcript variant X2". The record is from RNAcentral. Lineage: Eukaryota; Metazoa; Arthropoda; Insecta; Coleoptera; Buprestidae.
CAAUGCGUCAAUGUCGGUCGCUUCGAAACGCGAAAAUAGUGUAUUUGAAAACGUUUUUGACAUUAAUUUACUUUCCGAUAUAGGUACUUACUUAUAUAUGUAUAGUGGUGCAUUGUGGAACUAUGAGAUAAGAAGAUAAAACGAAGAAUCUACCAAUAAAAGAUCCAUGUUAUUUUCAAUCUAAUACACCACCAUGGGAAAAAGCUUCAGUACCAUUCUGAAUAGAAAUUACCAAAAAGACAACCGAAGUACCGCAAGUACCGGUAGCAGCGGAAGGGCAUUUUUCUUUCUCCAUAGAACAUGGGCAGUUAUUUUAACUGAUAAGAGAUCUAAAAGCCGUACAUUUCGUUCUUCAAAGUCUGAUUAUGGUAGCGAAUACGACACAAACACGAUGUGCAGCUGCAGGCAGUGCCACAGGAAAAAGAAAUUUGACAGCGACUGGGAAAGCGAGAUACUCGGCUCUGAGGACACAAUGGCACCAAAUUCUGAAAAUGGAAGAGAAAUUCGUGUUUACCCGUGGGAAGAGGACAUUCUCC